Molecule: ribosomal RNA, 383 nt
Filed under: Lacunicambarus diogenes
Lineage: Eukaryota; Metazoa; Arthropoda; Malacostraca; Decapoda; Cambaridae
Description: partial small subunit ribosomal RNA
Source: RNAcentral
GAUACCCUAGUACACUUAAACUUAAUUAGUAACAUUAGAAUAUUAAAAGUUAUGUUCUUUAAAUUUAAAAAAUUUGGCGGUGUUUUAGUCUAGUUAGAGGAACCUGUUUUAUAAACGAUACAACACGCAUUAUUUUACUUAUUUUAGUAGAUCAGUUUGUAUACCGUCAUUAUAAGAUAAUUUAAGAGAGAAUAUUAUUGAAAUCAUAUUAUUGAGUAUAUUAGAUCAAGGUGCAGCUUAUGAGUAAGUAAACAUGGGUUACAAUAAAAUUUAUUUAAUAUGAAUUAAAUGUUUAAAUAUGUUUAUGAAGGAGGAUUUAAUUGUAAGAGGAGAGUAGAGAGCUUUUCUGAUAAAAGCUCUAAAUUAUGUACAUAUCGCCCGUC